RNAcentral lists this unclassified non-coding RNA (189 nucleotides) under uncultured fungus. RNAcentral's name for it is "sequence contains ITS2". The record is from RNAcentral. Lineage: Eukaryota; Fungi.
GCAACCUCUCAAGCACGGCUUGUGUGUUGGACCGCGUACCGACGCGUCACCCUCUCGGGGGUGAUCGCGGUGGGUGCGGGUCCGAAAUGCAGUGGCGGCGUCGCGUCUCGACCUCGCAAGCGUAUGGGGCUCUGUCACACGCUGAGCGGUCGCGCGUACCUACGCCUGCCCCCUCCACCAUCUUUCUCA